UUUUUAAUUUAAAAAUUUUUAAAUUUAAAUUUUGCUCUGUGGGUGUUUAAGAGGUGAAGAGCUAAAGACGCAAAGCCCCAGCCUAGGGCAGCUUACGACCACGCCAGUCGGGUGUUUUUCUACGGUUUGUUCCGAGACACUGGAAGGCUGGAGGUCAUGUGCUGUGUCUAAUGUUUAGCAAAAUCUUAGCGAAACAAGGGCGGUAGGCAUGGGGGUUGGGGGGUUUAGAUACGAGAAAGAGGGAGACGGCUGGAAGAGCUGAAUCACUUAAAAAGUCUUUCCUGAAAAGAAAGGUUGACCGCUGUAGUCAGAGGAGUGAAAUGUUGAGAGAAACAGGGAUGAUUAACCACGAACAGCAAGCCAGAUUGAGUCAGAAAAAUGAUCUCUCAGCCUGAAAUUCUGUCUCCAACAAUGGCAUCAGGAGAUGGUUACUUGCCCAGGGUGAGCUUAGUUAUGAAGCUUACGGAUAUUGAUCGUAUUACUCGACAAGAGCACCCAGAUUCAUCUUCUUUUGGAGUUGUUGCUUGCUCAGCACACAUGUGUUGAGUUCCUGCUAACUUGACCAGCACUGCCUGCUUGCUAAGGUUACAAAGAAGCUACUCCAGGAUGUGCCCCACCAAAAUGAAGGAAAGAAGCAAGAGAAAGGAAGACAAUGGAUACAGGAUACAGGCAAAGGGAGCUCCCAGGAGAAAGGGAAGGGAGAGCCUGGGUGGUGAGUGUGCACCUGGUGUCCAGGACCAUCUGUCUGGUCCACACAUGUCACAAGAUGUGAGGAAAGACUUCUGUAAGAAGAUGAAAAUGAAAGAAUUCCUGAUAUGUUUGAGCAUUUUAAGAAAAAGGUUAAACAAAUUGUUGGAGAGUUUGGGGUUAAAGUAAUGAUAGUAUGCAGACUAUUUGACAAAACAAAACCAACUCCAAGGAAACAAAAGUUUGAGCCAAAAAGAAAAGAAUUCCAGUCUACAUAUGAUAGAACUUAGCUCUUGUAACCUUUCUGCGUCUACUAUAAAAUAGACACCAAGUAUUAAUCCAAACAGACAUGACCUAAUGGUAUUGAGUGGACCAAGAGAUGGGAAGGGGGAUUGCGUGAUGGGCAGGGAGCAGGUGGGGAAAGAAAGCUAUGCUCUUACAUGAGAAGUCAUGGAAAAUGCCUACACCUGAAAAAUCAGAUUAGCAAUAUAAACAAAUGUAGCACACUUAAAGUUGUGAAAGUAAACACCAAAAACGUCAAUCAACCAACUCAUGGAACAAAUGAAAUAAAAUAGCCAGAAACGCUGAAUAUGGCUGUUUGAAGUGGGGAGAAAGAUGCUGGGGGGAGGCAUGAGGGACUGUUAUUUUCACGAAAAAAAAUAUAAGCUGGAUCCUAUAAACUAUGUGC
Molecule: long non-coding RNA, 1375 nt
Filed under: Equus asinus (donkey)
Lineage: Eukaryota; Metazoa; Chordata; Mammalia; Perissodactyla; Equidae
Description: lncRNA (ENSEASG00005034737.1)
Source: RNAcentral